GGAUGUGAGGACGAUCUGGCUGCAACAUCUGUCACCCCAUUGAUCGCCAGGGUUGAUUCGGCUAAUCUGGCUGGCUAGGCAGGUGUCCCCUUCCUCCCUCACCGCUCCAUGUGCGUCCCUCCUGAAGCUGCGCGCUUGGUCGAAGAGGACGAUCAUCCCCGAUAGAGGAGGACCGUUCUUUCGUCAAGGGUAUACGAGUAGCUGCGCUCCCCUGCUAGAACCUCUAAACAAGCUCUCAUGCAGGGAGCCCAACGUGGGACUCCAUCCCGGGUCUCCAGGAUCACACCCCGGGCCAAAUGCGGCGCUG
RNAcentral lists this small nuclear RNA (307 nucleotides) under Canis lupus familiaris (dog). RNAcentral's name for it is "7SK RNA". It matches the Rfam family "7SK RNA". Rfam says of the family: 7SK was discovered as an abundant small nuclear RNA in the mid-70s but a possible function has only recently been suggested. Two independent studies have found that 7SK RNA binds the CDK9/cyclin T complex (known as elongation factor P-TEFb). P-TEFb activates transcription by phosphorylating the C-terminal domain of RNA polymerase II. The record is from Rfam by way of RNAcentral. RNAcentral also lists the same sequence under 1 other name. Lineage: Eukaryota; Metazoa; Chordata; Mammalia; Carnivora; Canidae.